Molecule: small nuclear RNA, 102 nt
Organism: Symphalangus syndactylus (siamang)
Lineage: Eukaryota; Metazoa; Chordata; Mammalia; Primates; Hylobatidae
Source: RefSeq, a predicted model, not a curated record
GUGCUUGCUUUGGCAGCACAUAUACUAAAAUUGGAAUGAUAGAGAUUAGCAUGAUCUCUGCGCAAGGAUGACACACAAAUUCGUGAAAUAUUCCAUGUUUUU